This 253-nucleotide ribosomal RNA is filed under the name uncultured bacterium. RNAcentral describes it as "partial 16S ribosomal RNA". It matches the Rfam family "Bacterial small subunit ribosomal RNA", at positions 524 to 776 of the family's 1533-position model. The record is from RNAcentral.
UACGUAGGGUGCGAGCGUUGUCCGGAAUUAUUGGGCGUAAAGAGCUCGUAGGCGGUUUGUCGCGUCGGCCGUGAAAUCCCUCGGCUUAACCGGGGAACUGCGUCUGAUACUGGAUGGCUUGAGUUUGGGAGAGGGACGCGGAAUUCCAGGUGUAGCGGUGAAAUGCGCAGAUAUCAGGAAGAACACCUAUGGCGAAGGCAGCUCUCUGGGACGGUACUGACGCUGAGACGCGAAAGCGUGGGGAGCGAACAGG